Molecule: long non-coding RNA, 1225 nt
Filed under: Numida meleagris (helmeted guineafowl)
Lineage: Eukaryota; Metazoa; Chordata; Aves; Galliformes; Numididae
Description: lncRNA (ENSNMEG00000013476.1)
Source: RNAcentral
UGUAUACCUGCCCCCCUGAUAUGUUCUGGAAUUGCUGCUGCUGCAGUCGCAGAAAGGAAGUAUUUCACUGCUGCUGUUGCAGUGUUUUUCUUGUUUCUUGUAGCACACUGUUUAGACAAAGCCCCCUCCCCACCGCUCUGCUUCCCUUCCCUUCCCCCAGCUCCUUGGCCAGUUUUCUUUUCUGAACCCCCUGAACUGAUUAAUUUCCUUGCACAUCUCUACUAUUCCUCAGUAAUUUUCUCCUUCUUAUUUCCCACCCUCCACUUAGAAUGAGGAAACUUCCUCAACAGCAGUGACCAGCAGAAAGGCUUUAAGUAAGAACUCUUCAUCUUUUCCUUUCUGGCUUGCAGGUGCCUGAGGCCAGCCAUUACCUUGAUCACAGAACAGUCUUCAUUGUGGGGAGCGCAGGCAGAGCAGACACCUGCUUGUACUUCUGGCAAGCUUUCAGGCUCCUGUACUUGGGGCUGGCUAAAAUUUCCUAUGUGAGGUCUCCAGGGUUCAAUCUCUGCCCGUGUGCCCAGUGUUCGGACCAUCUCACUGAUCGGGAGCACACAGAUGUGAGAACGUAGCAAGGCAUUGCUUAUGAAGAAAAUUCUGAGACAUUGAUUUCGUCACUCGGGCUGCUUUUUGGCCAUUCUAGUGCUGCAACCUGACAAGCCAUAGCAUCAACACCGGGGAAGGAAGAACUGUAUCAUCCUGCCUAACUCCAGGCUGAAGCUGCUGUGUGAGAAGGAAUCCAGCUGCACAAACUUCAACAGAAGUCAUGCCACACCACGUUGCUGUGCAAGAAUGUUCUCAUCCCUAUUUUCUCUGGGAUAUUUGAAAUCAUGAGAUUUGUAUGCAUGUUAAGACAUGCCGCUGCAGUAUGUGAUUGCACAAACCAUGCUGUUGUGUAUUCAGAGUCACAUACGUCUGCCCGAAUGACUGAAAUGAAGUAUUUGCUGCUUUCUACCUCAUUUAAACCUGCGGGAGCUGGUAGUGCUCAUCCUCCUCACACACUGAGGUAUCCACAUGUGCCACUCGCCAGCCUGGGGCUUCUUCUCCAAGCAAUGGCUGAGUAAAUCUCUUAAUAACAGAGCAAGUCCUCACAGAUUAUUGUGAUCAUAAUUUGGCUGACAUAGCCUUUAUUACUAAUGGCAAGGCUGGAAAUGGAAAACCCAGCUUGAUGCUCAGCUCCCUGCUGGAAAGUAAUAAAAUAAAGAGGAACAAAAUCCGUGAGUGUAUU